RNAcentral lists this ribosomal RNA (484 nucleotides) under uncultured bacterium. Its description in RNAcentral is "partial 16S ribosomal RNA". It matches the Rfam family "Bacterial small subunit ribosomal RNA", at positions 30 to 507 of the family's 1533-position model. The record is from RNAcentral.
AUUGAACGCUGGCGGCAUGCUUUACACAUGCAAGUCGAACGGCAGCGCGGUCUUCUUCCUGGCUGCUAGUGUCGCACGGGUGUGUAAUACAUGUGAGCAUGCCCAGCAUUACGUUAUAGCACCUCCAAAGCCGGAUUAAUACCACAGACUAGCUGAUGCUGAAAGCGGGGGGGGGAAGGGCCUCUCGCUCUUGUGGGGGCCGAUGUCGGAUUAGCUAGUUGGUUGGGGGAAGGCUUACCUAGGAGGCGAUCGGUAGAUGGUCUGAGAGGGGGACAGGCCACACUGGGAGUGAGACACGGCCCAGACUACUAAGGGAGGCAGCAGUGGGGAACUGUGGACAGUGGGGGCAAAUAUGAUCCAGCCAUGCCGCGUGCGGGAAGAAGGCCUUCGGGUUGUAAUCAGGUUUUGUGGGGGAAGAACCGCUCUGGGCUAAUACCAAGGGGGGAUGACGGUAACGGAAGAAUAAGCACCGGCUAACUACGUG